UACGUAGGGGGCAAGCGUUGUCCGGAUUCAUUGGGCGUAAAGAGCGUGUAGGCGGCCAGGUAGGUCGGUUGUGAAAACUGGAGGCUCAACCUUCAGAGGUCGACCGAAACCAUCUGGCUAGAGUCCGGGAGAGGAGAGUGGAAUUCCUGGUGUAGCGGUGAAAUGCGCAGAUAUCAGGAAGAACACCCGUGGCGAAAGCGCCUCUCUGGAACGGUACUGACGCUGAGACGCGAAAGCGUGGGGAGCGAACAGG
Molecule: ribosomal RNA, 253 nt
Filed under: uncultured bacterium
Lineage: Bacteria
Description: partial 16S ribosomal RNA
Rfam family: Bacterial small subunit ribosomal RNA
Source: RNAcentral